CAAACUGAAGAGUUGACAUAAUCCUAUUACUCUGUCUCCAUUUCUCUGCUGUUCUUUUGGCUGGAUCCUCCCCCAUGUGUUGGUUUCAUACUCCAGUUGCCACCAAAAGGACUGGAUAAUUCCAGCACAUGGAAUUACUCAACCACAUCCAAGGUCGACUCACUUCUGGCCACUGAUACAGUCGCGCCAGAAGGACCGGCACUGGGGACUGGACACACUCACAUUGCGCCCUUGAUUUGGGGGGACUGGAUUAACAAAGGCGUGAAUCUCAGCUCCCAACACUCCUGGGACAGGGCUGAUAAUGGUACCACUCCACUUCAUCUGCAAAACGGUACUUACUAAGGCCACUUAUCCCCCGGCCCCGGAACCGGGAAUCAAACUCAGGGUCUUGCGCUUGCCCGGCAGGCGCGGCGCCGCUGAGCUACAUCCCAGGCCCCACUAAAGCUACUUUUGUCACGACCCAAACUAGAUGAGAUUUAGUAAUUUAGCACAACAUGUAGAUUUAACAAUUUUCUUGUUUUCUCCAUGUCUCUGUCACUUUCCAACUCCUCCUAAACGUUCUUUCGGCUUGCAAACGGGACAGAACUUGGCAAAGGCAGGUGUGACGAGAGGCCUGCGCCGGGUCUAGGGGUGGGGGCGAGACUCGGACACUGACAGCCGCAGCCUUUGGGGAACCCGGGCGCGGGAGUCGCCAUAAGCUUCACUCCCAGACUUCGCCCCGAGACGGAGGCCGCCGCCACACUCUCCCUCUGAGGAGAGGGCGGAG
This 766-nucleotide long non-coding RNA is filed under the name Heterocephalus glaber (naked mole-rat). RNAcentral describes it as "lncRNA (ENSHGLG00100047848.1)". Lineage: Eukaryota; Metazoa; Chordata; Mammalia; Rodentia; Bathyergidae. The record is from RNAcentral.